AUUGAACGCUGGCGGCAGGCCUAACACAUGCAAGUCGAGCGGAUGAAGGGAGCUUGCUCCUGGAUUCAGCGGCGGACGGGUGAGUAAUGCCUAGGAAUCUGCCUGGUAGUGGGGGAUAACGUCCGGAAACGGGCGCUAAUACCGCAUACGUCCUGAGGGAGAAAGUGGGGGAUCUUCGGACCUCACGCUAUCAGAUGAGCCUAGGUCGGAUUAGCUAGUUGGUGGGGUAAAGGCCUACCAAGGCGACGAUCCGUAACUGGUCUGAGAGGAUGAUCAGUCACACUGGAACGGAGACACGGACCAGACGCCUACGGGAGGAAGCAGUGGGGAAUAUUGGACAAUGGGCGAAAGCCUGAUCCAGCCAUGCCGCGUGUGUGAAGAAGGUCUUCGGAUUGUAAAGCACUUUAAGUUGGGAGGAAGGGCAGUAAGUUAAUACCUUGCUGUUUUGACGUUACCAACAGAAUAAGCACCGGCUAACUUCGUG
Molecule: ribosomal RNA, 484 nt
Filed under: uncultured bacterium
Lineage: Bacteria
Description: partial 16S ribosomal RNA
Rfam family: Bacterial small subunit ribosomal RNA
Source: RNAcentral